Non-coding RNA from Anolis sagrei ordinatus, 270 nucleotides. The record is from RefSeq and is a predicted model, not a curated record. NCBI's taxonomy places the organism in Eukaryota, Metazoa, Chordata, Lepidosauria, Squamata, Anolidae.
AUUAGGAAAAAAGCACACAGCACAAUCCUGUUCCAAGCUGACAACAUUCUGUAAUAGAAAAGCAGAUUUCCCGAACUUGAACAAAUUAAGUUUGCAAAGGAACACUGCAGUGCUGUCCAUAUUGCUAUAAAUCAGCCACUUCAGGCCACAGAAAUUUCACCAAACAUUCACCACAUCCUUGAAGCAUAAGGACUGAGAUCCCGAGGGACUGCAUGGUUUAAAAGCAGGUGAAAGAAUGAGGAAGUACUUAAUCAAGGACUCAGUGUCACA